RNAcentral lists this ribosomal RNA (275 nucleotides) under uncultured prokaryote. RNAcentral describes it as "partial 16S ribosomal RNA". It matches the Rfam family "Bacterial small subunit ribosomal RNA", at positions 524 to 798 of the family's 1533-position model. The record is from RNAcentral.
AACGUAGGGGGCUAGCGUUGUCCGGAAUUACUGGGCGUAAAGCGCACGCAGGCGGUCUGGAAAGCGGUGGGUGCAAUCUCGAGGCUCAACCUCGAAACUGCUCGCCGAACUACCAGACUUGAGCACGGGAGAGGACAGUGGAAUUCCCGGUGUAGCGGUGGAAUGCGUAAAUAUCGGGAGGAACACCAGUGGCGAAGGCUGCUGUCUGGAACGUUGCUGACGCUGAGGUGCGAAAGCCAGGGGAGCGAACGGGAUUAGAUACCCCGGUAGUCCCU